CUCUCUCUCACUCCGACGCCGCGCACGUUUCUCUCUCCGGUAGUAUUUCACAAGGUAUCUGGUUCGACUGUCGUUUUCACAGUGCGGGGCAGCUCUCCACAUGCCUCCCCCUUAUUCAAUUGUUAUUCAGGUAAUAUGAGCUUAUACAUUGGCAUAAGAACCCUGAAGAUCUAAAGAACAGGCAUUUCUAAUAUCCUUACAAAUAGAUGUAGGUUAUUUCUUUCUAAUAUCCUUUCUGCUGGGGAUCGAUCAGAAA
Non-coding RNA from Corylus avellana, 256 nucleotides. The record is from RefSeq and is a predicted model, not a curated record. NCBI's taxonomy places the organism in Eukaryota, Viridiplantae, Streptophyta, Magnoliopsida, Fagales, Betulaceae.